GUGUAAAUGGCAAGGUUUAUUGAAAAGGGACUUUUCCCAUGGCAACCGAAGAUAUAUUCACAUGAUCGUUUUAUAUUUGUUUGUUCAAAUGUCAUCCGUGUACUGUUCGUUCAAUCAAUUUCCGAAUUUAUACAACCAAGACGUAUAAUCAUUUCAUUUUUCUUUUGUCGUCCACAAGAUUGAACAGAGACGGUGUGGGCGUAGAGAAGAGGGGCUGCAACAUGACUACGUCGCUAGCUGUUUUCAAAUAAAAGCUGUGUUAGUGAUAUUACCUGAACAUAUCCAGCUAGCUAGCUUCCGCAGGUUAGUUAUAAAUUAAAGUCACCAAUAAGUAACGUUAGUUAGUUAGCUGCCUUCAAUUAUUGGUGGCUUUACAGACAGACAAGACAGGGAGAUUAUAUUAAAAGCCACCAAGCAUUGAGCUAAAACUAGCUAGCUAUGAUACCAAACAGGUGAGUGUGCGUGCGUAUGUAUGUAUGUAUGUAUAUGGUAGGUUACAAGGAUCGUUCAAGACUGUCCAGCCCCAGCUAACGCGGCUUGACAUACCGAGUUUUGACCAUGACCCUUUCUCUGCCAUCAGUCAUUGGCAGCAGAAAACUGGAAGGAAAGGCAGCCAAAGGAGGUGUUGGCUUUGGGGAUGACCAGUGAGAUAUACCUGCUGGUGUUCAGUGAAAUAACAACACAAUGUCAAAUACAGAAUCUUCAUUCUCCAGAGACGUUGGAUGCAGAAUUAUACUCCUAUCCCUCACAUCCUGCACAUGUUCAGCAGAGAAGAACAUCCAUAGACAUGGAGCUGCUGCAGCAGAUAGACCACUUCCUACAGGUAACACGCAAACACAUGGUAAUCAUUUCCGCAUAGAAAGGUUUUAAAGUCUGCACUGAGAAUCUUAGGAGGUUUCUUUGUGUGUGCAUGUGUCUGCGUGGUGAGUUAAGGUGGCAGUGUUUCCUGAUGUGCUCUGUUAGAGGGUAUGUAUCUGAAGGCUCUAACCUGUAUGUGUGUGUAGGAACUGAGGAGGCAGACUGUCGUACCCUCUGUCUUCUCUGAAAGGGUCCUCUCUGAAGGGGUUAGUGUGUGAAGGCUCUAGCCUGCUACUUCUGAUGCUGCUCCCUCUGAGGAAGAACGCCCUGAAAAACAUGACCUUUCUUUCACCAGGACACACACAUCUCAACCUCCACGUGUCAGUUGUUUUAGUCACUCUGCCCUACUCGUUUUUUUUUUUCUGUGCGAGGUGUGUUCACUGUUCUCAGUUUUGAUUUCAUUUCCAGACACUUCCACCCAACUGUGUGAUGAGUCUGGUGGGCCAAUGCGUCAAACUGUGGUCAUAGGGAGCUGGGGUGCCGAUGGUGGAGGUGUUUGGGGUGGCAAGGACAGUGGACUCAGUGGAGGACAUCCCAGCCACUUGGCAGUGUUGACACGUCCCACAUGACGGGUAAGUGGACAUCUACUUAUACAAUCAGUCAAUCAAAAGUCUACAUUUGGCCUUUUUCUUUUUACAUCAGCAGUUGUCACAAAGUGCUUUUACAGUAACCUGGCCUACACAAGGGGAACCUGAGACACACUGCUCCUGCCAUCUUUCUUCCUGUGUGAUGACAUAUCCUGUUUAGGCACCUGGCCAAGUGCAGGAGGAGUUGAAGGCGGAGCAUGCCUCGAACCUGCGAAGCACCCAGUGAUCUACGGUAUGAUGGCUGACUUUGCAGUUCCUGUUACUUCAAAAACCGAGCGACACUUUCAUGUUCACCCACGAAGACAUAUCUCCCUUCGCCUCCCGCCGACCCCCGAGGGGCAACUUCAACACCUCACAUUGAUGACACACACUGUGGCUGAAUCUCAAUAGUCUAGUUAGUAGCUUCCUCAGUCACUUUAGUGAGGACAAUACUGUUCUGGUUACACUAGUAUGUACAGAGGCCCUCGAUCAUCAAAUAUGAACGCUUUUAUGGAGGUUUUUGUCUUUUAUUUUGUGACACUGUUUUUACUGUCUUUUUGUUUGUAUUGGCUACACUAAAACAAAUUUCAAUCAACUCUGUUGAUAUGGCAAUUGCAACAGUUGUCAGUUGGUGUGACUAAAAUACAAUUUCAUGUCUUGUA
Molecule: non-coding RNA, 2086 nt
Organism: Salmo salar (Atlantic salmon)
Lineage: Eukaryota; Metazoa; Chordata; Actinopteri; Salmoniformes; Salmonidae
Source: RefSeq, a predicted model, not a curated record